This 254-nucleotide ribosomal RNA is filed under the name uncultured bacterium. Its description in RNAcentral is "partial 16S ribosomal RNA". It matches the Rfam family "Bacterial small subunit ribosomal RNA", at positions 524 to 776 of the family's 1533-position model. The record is from RNAcentral.
UACAGAGGCCUCGAGCGUUAGGCGGAAUCACUGGGCUUAAAGCGUGUGUAGGCGGACUUCUAAGUACCUUGUGAAAUCCCACGGCUCACCCGUGGAACUGCUCGGUAUACUGGUCGUCUUGAGCCUUCUAGGGGCGAGUGGAACAAAUGGUGGAGCGGUGAAAUGCGUAGAUAUCAUUUGGAACGCCAAUGGUGAAAACAGGUUGCUGGGGACUUAGCUGACGCUGAGACACGAAAGCCAGGGGAGCGAACGGG